Long non-coding RNA from Etheostoma spectabile (orangethroat darter), 408 nucleotides. RefSeq lists it as uncharacterized. The transcript is spliced from 3 exons. The record is from RefSeq and is a predicted model, not a curated record. Lineage: Eukaryota; Metazoa; Chordata; Actinopteri; Perciformes; Percidae.
UAUUGCUAACUAAAAUGCUAAUUGACAUUAGUAAUUAAUCUUAAACAGCUAAUGUAAGUCAAAACUGCCUGCGAGUUUCUCCUAACUAUACGGUCAUUUCUCUACUGUGUGACAGAAAGUCGGGUGGUUAUGACACAACCGUUAGCCUAUUUUUUUCAAAAUGGCUGCUACGGGGUCAUAACGUGAGAUACAAGGAACCUUUUCAUACAUUGUUGUGUUUCUUUAGAAAUAAACAAUGGACAAAUAGUCUUUAAACACUUAAGAUAUACAGGUAUUAGCUGUCAAAGUGACACCAAAAUGAACUGGAGUCAAUGGAAUGCUAACAGAAGGAGAUGGCUUGUUAGCCUACAAUCUCCCCAUAGGAGAUAAGCUUUCCGGAUGCUCCCUUACCCCCUACAAAAAAUUUCU